GACGAACGCUGGCGGCGUGCUUAACACAUGCAAGUCGAACGAGACCGCCGGGUCUUGUGGCGGAGGGGUGGGUGACGAGUGGGAAGCUACCCUUAGGUUAGGAAUAACUCCCCGAAAGGGGAGCUAAUACCGGAGAAGGUCAUCGGGGCUAGGAGUUUUCGGCUCGGGAUGGGCGCGGGGAGGAUUAGCUAGUUGGGAGGGGAAAAGCCUACCAAGGGGACGAUGCAUAGCUGGUCUGAGAGGAUGAUCUGGCACACUGGGACUGAGGCCCGGCCCAGACUCCGACGGGGGGCAGGGGUGGGGAAUAUUGGACACGGGGCCAAGGCCUGAUCCCGCAAUGCCGCGUGAGUGAUGAAGGCCUUAGGGUUGUAAGGCUCUUUUACCCGCGGUGAUAAUGACAGUACCGGGAGAAUAAGCUCCGGCUAACUACGUG
Molecule: ribosomal RNA, 433 nt
Filed under: uncultured bacterium
Lineage: Bacteria
Description: partial 16S ribosomal RNA
Rfam family: Bacterial small subunit ribosomal RNA
Source: RNAcentral